Molecule: non-coding RNA, 31 nt
Filed under: Rattus norvegicus (Norway rat)
Lineage: Eukaryota; Metazoa; Chordata; Mammalia; Rodentia; Muridae
Source: RNAcentral
UAACGUUUUUUUUCUUAGGUUGUUCUGCUGC